GUUGUUCAGUAAAAUGUCGUAUGAGAUUUCAAGAGAGCACAGCUAACCUAAUUUUGGAGAGUGAGGAUCACUUAUUGGGAAGACAUGAAGCACAAAUAGGUGAAAGACAAGAAUUCUGUGGGUUAAGGCCCAGAGGACAAACAAGACACAAGCAAAGCUUCGUUAAGCAUUUGCCCACUGGGACUUGUCCUCUUGGAAUACUCUCUGCCAGCAUCCAGGCAUGUAACAAAACAAGGUGGUUCUAAAGACUGCAAUCUUAAAGACUGCACUCCAGUGCUUCUCAAAGGAGACCACACCCUGCACCAGGAAUUAAAAUUGGAGUCUCAUGUGAAGAGUGAUUGAUGUUCUCACUAUUGCAUUCAAGCUGUAGUCAUCAUAAAAUCCACUCAGCCCGAUGUGCCUCAGUGAUUCUAAUCCUGGCAUGUCCUGAAUCGACUGAAGGUUGCAGAAGCACUGCAAAGUUGUCUAUGAAAUUCCACCAAAGUGCUUACUCGCAAUACUUUUGACUCUAAGAACUCUAUUGGCCUGGAUUAUAGAUGCAAUCACUGAUUUUAAAUGGAAGACACAAAAUAGGCUCAGAGCCUCAAUGAUAACAAUUUGAUGUCCUCAUUCAAGUUGACCUUGAGGAACAGAGAAGUAAUGCUGUUGCCUACAGACUGUGCCUUCCGUUUCAAUGCCACCCCACAGAGGUGGUAAAUGUUUCAGUUAUCGUCUUUAAACUGCAGUCUUUUAAAUGUUGUUUUAAAUGAAGCCCUAGUAAUAUUCUCCUCCCAAAACACAAUCUGUGAAAAUGGCAUAUGUUUCAUUUAUGAUAAAGGUGUUUAUUCCAUUUAUACAUAUGAGUCUAAAACUAACAAUCUUUGAGCACUAAAAAUGUGUGCUCAAACAUGGGACUAAGAACCCCUAAUGUAACAUCUUAUUUAAUCCUUACAACAGUCUUAUGAAAUGGGACUAUCUUGAUUUCACAGAUGAGGAAAGCCUUAAUAAAGUUAUAUAACUUCUCCAAGUCCAUACACUUGAUAGGUUUACAAGAACUGGGACUUGAACUACAUCUUUCUGGUCACGGAGAGUUAGCUAUAAUAUGAAGGUCCUUUUUACAUUUAAUAGUACGGCAAAAUGAAGACAA
Choloepus didactylus (southern two-toed sloth) is the source of this 1126-nucleotide long non-coding RNA. RefSeq lists it as uncharacterized. The record is from RefSeq and is a predicted model, not a curated record. NCBI's taxonomy places the organism in Eukaryota, Metazoa, Chordata, Mammalia, Pilosa, Megalonychidae. The transcript has 4 exons.